UACGUAGGGGGCCAGCGUUGCUCGGAAUUACUGGGCGUAAAGGGUCCGUAGGCGGUGUGGCAAGUCGGGAGUGAAAUCUCUGGGCUUAACUCAUAGGCUGCUUCCGAAACUGUUGUGCUUGAGUGUGGGAGAGGCGCGUGGAAUUGCAGGUGUAGCGGUGAAAUGCGUAGAUAUCUGCAGGAACACCCGUGGCGAAAGCGGCGCGCUGGACCACAACUGACGCUGAGGAACGAAAGCUAGGGGAGCAAACAGG
This 253-nucleotide ribosomal RNA is filed under the name uncultured bacterium. RNAcentral's name for it is "partial 16S ribosomal RNA". It matches the Rfam family "Bacterial small subunit ribosomal RNA", at positions 524 to 776 of the family's 1533-position model. The record is from RNAcentral.